Molecule: long non-coding RNA, 206 nt
Filed under: Hordeum vulgare
Lineage: Eukaryota; Viridiplantae; Streptophyta; Magnoliopsida; Poales; Poaceae
Description: long non-coding RNA (HVUL_LNC007915)
Source: RNAcentral
ACUCUUAAAUUUGAUGCCUUAUGUGACACUCCCAACUUUUUGCUUCCUUCUACGGUCACUUGUGUAAAAAUUAUGCCUCACAUGACACUCUAGUGUAUGUUUAGAGCUAACGGUGUCAACUUUUCACAUACAAAGUCACUUUUGCCCCUGGUGUAACGUGUGACAAAAAUACAAGAAAUAUUGUUGUACUAUGUGUGACAAAAAUA